This 330-nucleotide ribosomal RNA is filed under the name uncultured bacterium. Its description in RNAcentral is "bacterial SSU rRNA". It matches the Rfam family "Bacterial small subunit ribosomal RNA", at positions 568 to 898 of the family's 1533-position model. The record is from RNAcentral.
CGCGUAGGUGGUAGUGUAAGUCUGGGGUGGAAUGCCGGGGCUUAACCCUGGAAUUGCCUUGGAAACUGCAUUACUUGAGUCAGUGAGGGAAGGGUAGAAUUCCUGGUGUAGCGGUGAAAUGCGUAGAUAUCAGGAGGAAGGCCUGUGGCGAAGGCGGCCCUCUGGUGCUGGACUGACACUGAGGCGCGAAAGCGUGGGGAGCAAACAGGAUUAGAUACCCUGGUAGUCCACGCCCUAAACGGUGGGCACUAGGUGUAGGGCUCGUAAGGGUUCUGUGCCGAAGGGAAACCAUUAAGUGCCCCGCCUGGGGAGUACGGCCGCAAGGUUGAA